GACGAACGCUGGCGGCGUGCUUAACACAUGCAAGUCGAACGAUGAACGCGGGAGCUUGCUCCUGCCGGAUUAGUGGCGAACGGGUGAGUAACACGUGAGCAAUCUGCCCUUGACUCUGGGAUAACGCCGAGAAAUUGGUGCUAAUACCGGAUAUGACCCCUGGCGGCAUCGCUGGGGGUGGAAAGUUUUUCGGUCAAGGAUGAGCUCGCGGCCUAUCAGCUAGUUGGUGAGGUAAUGGCUCACCAAGGCGACGACGGGUAGCCGGCCUGAGAGGGUGACCGGCCACACUGGGACUGAGACACGGACCAGACUCCUACGGAAGGCAGCAGUGAGGAAUAUUGGGCAAUGGGCGCAAGCCUGACCCAGCCAUGCCGCGUGCAGGAAGACGGUCCUAUGGAUUGUAAACUGCUUUUAUACGGGAAGAAACACUCCCUCGUGAGGGAGCUUGACGGUACCGUAAGAAUAAGGAUC
This 471-nucleotide ribosomal RNA is filed under the name uncultured Microbacteriaceae bacterium. RNAcentral's name for it is "bacterial SSU rRNA". It matches the Rfam family "Bacterial small subunit ribosomal RNA", at positions 28 to 494 of the family's 1533-position model. Lineage: Bacteria; Bacillati; Actinomycetota; Actinomycetes; Micrococcales; Microbacteriaceae. The record is from RNAcentral.